Molecule: ribosomal RNA, 440 nt
Filed under: uncultured bacterium
Lineage: Bacteria
Description: partial 16S ribosomal RNA
Rfam family: Bacterial small subunit ribosomal RNA
Source: RNAcentral
CCUACGGGAGGCAGCAGUGGGGAAUAUUGCACAAUGGGGAGAACCCUGAUGCAGCGACGCCGCGUGAGUGAAGAAGUAUUUCGGUGUGUAAAGCUCUAUCAGCAGGGAAGAAAAUGACGGUACCUUACUAAGAAGCCCCGGCUAACUACGUGCCAGCAGCCGCGGUAAUACGUAGGGGGCAAGCGUUAUCCGGAUUUACUGGGUGUAAAGGGAGCGUAGACGGUGCAGCAAGUCUGAUGUGAAAGGUCGGGGCCCAAACCCGGGACUGCAUUUGAAACUGUUUAACUGGAGUGCAGGAGAGGCAAGCGGAAUUCCUAGUGUAGCGGUGAAAUGCGUAGAUAUUAGGAGGAACACCAGUGGCGAAGGCGGCUUACUGGACUGUAACUGACGUUGAGGCUCGAAAGCGUGGGGAGCAAACAGGAUUAGAUACCCCAGUAGUC